GACGAACGCUGGCGGCGUGCCUAAUACAUGCAAGUAGGACGCAGUUGCGAACGGUUGAGUAACGCGUAGGUAACUACCUAUUAGAGGGGGAUAACUACUGGAAACGAUAGCUCAUAACGCAUACUAGUAGAUGGACCUGCGGUGUAUUAGGUAGUAGGUAGGGGAAUGGCCUACCUAGGCAACGAUACAUAGCCGACCUGGGAGGGUGAUCGGCCACACUGGGACUGAGACACUGCCCAGACUUCUUCCGGAGGCAGCAGUAGGGAAACUUCGGAAAUGGGGGGAACCCUUGCCGAGCAACGCCGCGUGAGUGAAGAAGGUUUUCGGAUCGUAAAGCUCUGUUGUUAAGGAAGCGGUACUUAACCAGAAAGGGACGGCUAACUACGUGCCAGCAGCCGCGGUAAUUC
Molecule: ribosomal RNA, 407 nt
Filed under: uncultured bacterium
Lineage: Bacteria
Description: partial 16S ribosomal RNA
Rfam family: Bacterial small subunit ribosomal RNA
Source: RNAcentral